This 468-nucleotide ribosomal RNA is filed under the name uncultured bacterium. RNAcentral describes it as "partial 16S ribosomal RNA". It matches the Rfam family "Bacterial small subunit ribosomal RNA", at positions 28 to 507 of the family's 1533-position model. The record is from RNAcentral.
GACGAACGCUGGCGGCGUGCUUAACACAUGCAAGUCGAACGGAAAGGCCCUGCUUUUGUGGGGUGCUCGAGUGGCGAACGGGUGAGUAACACGUGAGUAACCUGCCCUUGACUUUGGGAUAACUUCAGGAAACUGGGGCUAAUACCGGAUAGGAGCUCCUGCUGCAUGGUGGGGGUUGGAAAGUUUCGGCGGUUGGGGAUGGACUCGCGGCUUAUCAGCUUGUAGGUGGGGUAGUGGCUUACCAAGGCUUUGACGGGUAGCCGGCCUGAGAGGGUGACCGGCCACAUUGGGACUGAGAUACGGCCCAGACUCCUACGGAAGGCAGCAGUGGGGAAUAUUGCACAAUGGGCGGAAGCCUGAUGCAGCAACGCCGCGUGCGGGAUGACGGCCUUCGGGUUGUAAACCGCUUUCGCCUGUGACGAAGCGUGAGUGACGGUAAUGGGUAAAGAAGCACCGGCUAACUACGUG